This 253-nucleotide ribosomal RNA is filed under the name uncultured bacterium. RNAcentral's name for it is "partial 16S ribosomal RNA". It matches the Rfam family "Bacterial small subunit ribosomal RNA", at positions 524 to 776 of the family's 1533-position model. The record is from RNAcentral.
UACAGAGGGUGCGAGCGUUGUCCGGAAUCACUGGGCGUAAAGGGCGCGUAGGCGGCCCGAUAAGUAGGGUGUGAAAUCUUGCGGCUCAACCGCAAGGCUGCCUUCUAAACUGUCGGGCUGGAGCACGGUAGAGGCAGAUGGAAUUACCGGUGUAGCGGUGGAAUGCGUAGAGAUCGGGAAGAACACCAGUGGCGAAGGCGGUCUGCUGGGCCGUUGCUGACGCUGAGGCGCGACAGCGUGGGGAGCAAACAGG